AAAUUAGAUAGAGGUGCGGUUAUUAAGAGUAAGUACACCAAGCAAUCCAGCGAUGAAGUGUGCCGAAAGGAAUAAUCGCCGAAGUAAAAGGCUGUGGCAUAAGGACUUUUACUGGUUAUGUAUUUAAUAGGUACAUAACUGUCACCUAGUCAUUGGGUGGAGCACUAUCACUUAA
This 175-nucleotide non-coding RNA is filed under the name Desulfosporosinus youngiae. RNAcentral describes it as "Lysine sequence". It matches the Rfam family "Lysine riboswitch aptamer". Rfam says of the family: Riboswitches are metabolite binding domains within certain messenger RNAs that serve as precision sensors for their corresponding targets. Allosteric rearrangement of mRNA structure is mediated by ligand binding, and this results in modulation of gene expression. The record is from RNAcentral. Lineage: Bacteria; Bacillati; Bacillota; Clostridia; Eubacteriales; Desulfitobacteriaceae. RNAcentral also lists the same sequence under 1 other name.